UCCCGAUUCCGAUGAGAUCGGGGCUGAGAGAGUUUGGCAUAGCUUAAGAAAGCCCUCUAUAAAACCCUCUUCCCCUUCCUUAGAUCAUCACCUCAAAUCAAUUGAGAGAUUGCGGAGAAUUGUUCGAGAUUUCUCGUAUUCUUCUGUGGGUUGCCACUAGAGAAAAGGCCACCAAAAACCCUCCUCUGGCCGUCGAAAUGAGGUGCUUGGCCAGAGAUGCACACUAGAGAGACACUAUGGUGGACAUGCAAAGGGAGGCAGUAGAUUGAAGGGAGAGUGCAUUACAGUGGCCAAAGACAGAGGUACAAAUUAGCCAGGACAACAUGAGGAGGAUGAGGACCUCUGCAUCGACCUACACCAAAGAGAUGACAAGUUGAAAGCCAGGAAGAUGGAGGCACAUGGCAGAUUGAGAACCUGAUAAGGAGAAGAUGGAGUGUGACGAAAUGGGACUAGGGAAAUUGGAAAGAGGGUUAGGGAUUGAAACUUUAUAGAGGGCAUAUAUCAUGUCACUGACUCAAGAACUGCUGAAUACUCAUAGGAAACUCAUCCCACAAUAUGUAAGGUAUUCAUCAUAAUAUCAUAAAGUAAAUAGCAAAACAAAUAAUUAAUAAGUUAA
Elaeis guineensis (African oil palm) is the source of this 616-nucleotide non-coding RNA. NCBI's taxonomy places the organism in Eukaryota, Viridiplantae, Streptophyta, Magnoliopsida, Arecales, Arecaceae. The record is from RefSeq and is a predicted model, not a curated record.